Tupaia belangeri (northern tree shrew) is the source of this 135-nucleotide small nucleolar RNA. The record is from Ensembl. Lineage: Eukaryota; Metazoa; Chordata; Mammalia; Scandentia; Tupaiidae.
GAAAGAGAAAAAAAAAAAGAUGACAGGCUCAUACCCCUGGGCCUCUCAUAGCACCCCAUGUCAGAGCAAAUUAGCCCCGAAUCAUUGCCCAGCCUCUGCCUGGGGGCUGCUGGCACCGAAAUGGGUUGCACAGUA